CCUUGACCGUAUAAGUAGCAUAAUCAAUUGUCUUUUAAUUAAAGGCUUGUAUGAAUGGUUGGAUGAGAUAUAAUCUAUUUUUAUUUUAAUAUAAAUGAAUUUUAAUUUUUAGUAAAAAUGCUAAAAUAAUUAAAUUAGACGAGAAGACCCUAUAAAUCUUUAUUUUAUAUUUAAUUAUAAAAAUUUUUUGUUUAAUAAAUUUAAUUUUUAAGUUAAAAUUUUAUUGGGGUGAUAAUGAAAUUUGAAUAACUUUUAUUUAUUUUUAUAAGUGUAAUUAAAUUUUUGAUCCAUUAUUGAUGUUUAAAAAAUUAAGUUACUUUAGGGAUAACAGCGUAAUUAUUUUUGAAAGUUCUUAUUGAUAAAAUAGAUUGCGACCUCGAUGUUGAAUUAUGGAGCUAAAUUUAGGUGUAGA
Molecule: ribosomal RNA, 412 nt
Filed under: Culicoides grahamii
Lineage: Eukaryota; Metazoa; Arthropoda; Insecta; Diptera; Ceratopogonidae
Description: partial 16S ribosomal RNA
Source: RNAcentral